Molecule: ribosomal RNA, 588 nt
Filed under: uncultured bacterium
Lineage: Bacteria
Description: partial 16S ribosomal RNA
Rfam family: Bacterial small subunit ribosomal RNA
Source: RNAcentral
UGGGGAAUAUUGCACAAUGGGCGCAAGCCUGAUGCAGCCAUGCCGCGUGUGUGAAGAAGGCCUUCGGGUUGUAAAGCACUUUCAGCGAGGAGGAAGGUGGUGGACUUAAUACGUUCAUCAAUUGACGUUACUCGCAGAAGAAGCACCGGCUAACCCCGUGCCAGCAGCCGCGGUAAUACGGAGGGUGCAAGCGUUAAUCGGAAUUACUGGGCGUAAAGCGCACGCAGGCGGUUUGUUAAGUCAGAUGUGAAAUCCCCGGGCUCAACCUGGGAACUGCAUUUGAAACUGGCAAGCUAGAGUCUCGUAGAGGGGGGUAGAAUUCCAGGUGUAGCGGUGAAAUGCGUAGAGAUCUGGAGGAAUACCGGUGGCGAAGGCGGCCCCCUGGACGAAGACUGACGCUCAGGCGCGAAAGCGUGAGGAGCAAACAGGAUUAGAUACCCUGGUAGUCCACGCUGUAAAACGAUGUCGAUUUUGGAGGUUGUGCCCUUGAGGCGUGGCUUCCGGAGCUAACGCGUUAAAUCGACCGCCUGGGGAGUACGGCCGCAAGAUUAAAACUUAAAGGAAUUGACGGGGUCAUAGCUGUUUCCU